RNAcentral lists this unclassified non-coding RNA (329 nucleotides) under soil metagenome. RNAcentral's name for it is "partial contains 5.8S ribosomal RNA, internal transcribed spacer 2, and large subunit ribosomal RNA". The stretch from base 1 to 120 matches the Rfam family "5.8S ribosomal RNA", at positions 35 to 154 of the family's 154-position model. The record is from RNAcentral.
GAUGAAGAACGCAGCGAAAUGCGAUAAGUAGUGUGAAUUGCAGAAUUCAGUGAAUCAUCGAAACUUUGAACGCACAUUGCGCCCCUUGGUAUCCCGAGGGGCAUGCCUGUUCGAGCGUCAUUUCACCACUCAAGCCUGGCUUGGUGUUGGGCGACGUCCUCUUUGGGGACGCGCCUCGAAACGCUCGGCGGCGUGGCACCGGCUUUAAGCGUAGCAGAAUCUUUCGCUUUGGAAGUCGGGGCCCCGUCUGCCGGAAGACCUGCUCGCAAGGUUGACCUCGGAUCAGGCAGGGAUACCCGCUGAACUUAAGCAUAUCAAUAAGCGGAGGA